AACGAACGCUGGCGGCAGGCCUAACACAUGCAAGUCGAACGCUCCAGCAAUGGAGAGUGGCAGACGGGUGAGUAACACGUGGGAACCUUCCCUAUGGUUCGGAAUAGCUCAGGGAAACUUGGGGUAAUACCGGAUAAGCCCUUGGGGAAAGAUUUAUCGCCAUUGGAUGGGCCCGCGUCGGAUUAGCUAGUUGGUGAGGUAACGGCUCACCAAGGCAACGAUCCGUAGCUGGUCUGAGAGGAUGAUCAGCCACACUGGGGACUGAGACACGGCCCAGACUCCUACGGGAGGCAGCAGGUGGGGAAUAUUGGACAAUGGGCGCAAGCCUGAUCCAGCCAUGCCGCGU
This 346-nucleotide ribosomal RNA is filed under the name uncultured bacterium. RNAcentral describes it as "bacterial SSU rRNA". It matches the Rfam family "Bacterial small subunit ribosomal RNA", at positions 29 to 402 of the family's 1533-position model. The record is from RNAcentral.